RNAcentral lists this ribosomal RNA (253 nucleotides) under uncultured bacterium. Its description in RNAcentral is "partial 16S ribosomal RNA". It matches the Rfam family "Bacterial small subunit ribosomal RNA", at positions 524 to 776 of the family's 1533-position model. The record is from RNAcentral.
UACGUAGGGGGCAAGCGUUAUCCGGAUUUACUGGGUGUAAAGGGGGCGCAGACGGCAGCGCAAGCCAGGAGUGAAAGCCCGGGGCCCAACCCCGGGACUGCUCUUGGAACUGCGCGGCUGGAGUGCAGGAGGGGCAGGCGGAAUUCCUGGUGUAGCGGUGAAAUGCGUAGAUAUCAGGAGGAACAACGGUGGCGAAGGCGGCCUGCUGGACUGCGACUGACGUUGAGGCCCGAAAGCGUGGGGAGCAAACAGG